RNAcentral lists this ribosomal RNA (512 nucleotides) under uncultured bacterium. Its description in RNAcentral is "partial 16S ribosomal RNA". It matches the Rfam family "Bacterial small subunit ribosomal RNA", at positions 28 to 507 of the family's 1533-position model. The record is from RNAcentral.
GACGAACGCUGGCGGCGUGCCUAAUACAUGCAAGUCGAACGAAACUUCUUUAUCACCGAGUGCUUGCACUCACCGAUAAAGAGUUGAGUGGCGAACGGGUGAGUAACACGUGGGCAACCUGCCCAAAAGAGGGGGAUAACACUUGGAAACAGGUGCUAAUACCGCAUAACCAUAGUUACCGCAUGGUAACUAUGUAAAAGGUGGCUAUACUACCGCUUUUGGAUGGGCCCGCGGCGCAUUAGCUAGUUGGUAGGGUAAAGGCUUACCAAGGCAAUGAUGCGUAGCCGAAUUGAGAGGUUGAUCGGCCACAUUGGGACUGAGACACGGCCCAAACUCCUACGGGAGGCAGCAGUAGGGAAUCUUCCACAAUGGGCGAAAGCCUGAUGGAGCAACGCCGCGUGGGUGAAGAAGGUCUUCGGAUCGUAAAACCCUGUUGUUAGAGAAGAAAGUGCGUGAGAGUAACUGUUCACGUUUCGACGGUAUCUAACCAGAAAGCCACGGCUAACUACGUG